UACGGAGGGUGCAAGCGUUAUCCGGAUUCACUGGGUUUAAAGGGUGCGUAGGUGGGUUGGUAAGUCAGUGGUGAAAUCCCCGAGCUUAACUUGGGAACUGCCAUUGAUACUAUCAGUCUUGAAUACCGUGGAGGUUAGUGGAAUAUGUCAUGUAGCGGUGAAAUGCUUAGAUAUGACAUAGAACACCAAUUGCGAAGGCAACUGACUACACGAGUAUUGACACUGAGGCACGAAAGCGUGGGGAUCAAACAGG
This 253-nucleotide ribosomal RNA is filed under the name uncultured bacterium. RNAcentral's name for it is "partial 16S ribosomal RNA". It matches the Rfam family "Bacterial small subunit ribosomal RNA", at positions 524 to 776 of the family's 1533-position model. The record is from RNAcentral.